UACGAAGGGGGCUAGCGUUGCUCGGAAUUACUGGGCGUAAAGCGCACGUAGGCGGCUUCUUAAGUCGGUGGUGAAAUCCUGGAGCUCAACUCCAGAACUGCCUUCGAUACUGGGAAGCUCGAGUCCGGGAGAGGUGAGUGGAACUGCGAGUGUAGAGGUGAAAUUCGUAGAUAUUCGCAAGAACACCAGUGGCGAAGGCGGCUCACUGGCCCGGUACUGACGCUGAGGUGCGAAAGCGUGGGGAGCAAACAGGGAUUAAGAAACCC
This 266-nucleotide ribosomal RNA is filed under the name uncultured bacterium. Its description in RNAcentral is "partial 16S ribosomal RNA". It matches the Rfam family "Bacterial small subunit ribosomal RNA", at positions 524 to 787 of the family's 1533-position model. The record is from RNAcentral.